CCUACGGGUGGCAGCAGUGAGGAAUAUUGGUCAAUGGGCGCAAGCCUGAUCCAGCCAAGUCGCGUGAGGGAUGACGGUCCUAUGGAUUGUAAACCUCUUUUGUCGGGGAGCAAGGCCCGCCACGUGUGGCGGGAAGGAGAGGACCCGAAGAAAAAGCAUCGGCUAACUCCGUGCCAGCAGCCGCGGGAAUACGGAGGAUGCGAGCGUGAUCCGGAUUGAGUGGGUGGAAAGGGGGCGUAGGCGGAAGGUUAAGUCAGCGGUCAAAUGUCGGUGCUCAACACCGGCCUGCCGUUGAAACUGGUCUUCUUGAGUGAGCGAGACGUAUGCGGACUGCAUGGUGUCGCGG
Molecule: ribosomal RNA, 346 nt
Filed under: uncultured bacterium
Lineage: Bacteria
Description: partial 16S ribosomal RNA
Rfam family: Bacterial small subunit ribosomal RNA
Source: RNAcentral